RNAcentral lists this long non-coding RNA (1382 nucleotides) under Salmo salar (Atlantic salmon). RNAcentral's name for it is "lncRNA (ENSSSAG00000116773.1)". The record is from RNAcentral. Lineage: Eukaryota; Metazoa; Chordata; Actinopteri; Salmoniformes; Salmonidae.
GCACAGUUCCCGCUCAGCCCAGUCAAAACUGUUCGCUGCUCUGGCACCCCAAUGGUGGAACAAGCUCCCUCACGACGCCAGGACAGCGGAGUCAAUCACCACUUUCCGUAGACACCUGAAACCCCACCUCUUUAAGGAAUACCUGGGAUAGGAUAUAGUAAUCCUUACCGGAAUCUUCAGUAAUUUAGCCAGUCAGUUGUGUUGUGACAAGGUAGGGGUGGUAUACAGAAGAUAGCCCUAUUUGGUAAAAGACCAUAAAUCCAUAUUAUGGCAAGAACAGCUCAAAUAAGAAAAGAGGAAUGACCAUCCAUCAUUACUUUAAGACAUGAAAGUCAGUCAAUGAGGAAAAUUUCAAGAACUUUGAAAGUUUCUUCAAGUGAAGUAGCAAAAACCAUCAAGUGCUAUGUUAAGCUGGCUCUCAUGAGGACCACCACUGGAAAGGGAGACCCAAAGUUACCUCUGCUGCAGAGGAUAAGUUCAUUAGAGUUAACUACACCUCAGAUUGCAGCUCAAAUAAUGCUUCACAGAGUUCAAGUAACAGACACAUUUCAACAUCAACUGUUCAGAGGAGACUGCAUGAAUCAGGCCUUCAUGGUCAAAUUGCUGCAUAGUAACCACUACUAAAGGACACCAAGAAGAAGAAGAGACUUGCUUGGGCCAAGAAACAUGAGCAAUGGACAUUAGACCGGUGGAAAUCUGUCCUUUGGUCUGAUGAGUAGGUAAAUGGACGAUCUCCGCAUGUAUGGUUCCCACCGUGAAGCAUGGAGGAGGAGGUGCGAUGGGCUGGGGGUGCUUUGCUGAUGACACUGUCAGUGAUUUAUUUAGAAUUUAAGGCACACUUAACCAGCAUGGCUACCACAGAAUUCUGCAGCAAUAUGCCAUCCCAUCUGGUUUGCGCUUACUGGGACUAUCAUUUGUUUUCAACAGGACAAUGACCCAACACACCUCCAGGCUGUGUAAGGGCUAUCUGACCAAGAAGGAGAGUGAUGGAGUGCUGCAUCAGAUGACCACAAUCACCCGACGUGAACCCAACUGAGAUGGUUUGGGAUGAGUUGGACCACAGAGUGAAGGAAAAUCAUCCAACAAGUGCUCAGCAUGUGUGGGAUCUCCUUCAAGACUGCAUUAUAGGUGAAUCUGGUUGAGAGAAUACCAAGUGUGUGCAAAGCUAUCAUCAAGGCAAAGGGUGGCUACUUUUUGAAGAAUCUAAAAUAUAUUUUGAUUUGUUUAACCCUUUAUUGGUUACUACAUGAUUCUGUAUGUGUUAUUUCAUAGAUUUGAUGUCUUCACUAUUAUUCUACAAUGUAGAAAAUAGUCAAAACAUUUAAUAAAAACCUUGGAAUGAGUAGGUGUGUCCAAACCUUUGACUGGUACUAUAUAUAUAU